This 405-nucleotide ribosomal RNA is filed under the name uncultured soil bacterium. Its description in RNAcentral is "bacterial SSU rRNA". It matches the Rfam family "Bacterial small subunit ribosomal RNA", at positions 26 to 442 of the family's 1533-position model. The record is from RNAcentral.
AGAUUGAACGCUGGCGGCAUGCCUAACACAUGCAAGUCGAACGGGAGUAGCAAUACUCUAGUGGCGGACGGGUGAGGAAUACGUAGGAAUUUGCCCUUAAGUGGGGGAUAACCCGGGGAAACCCGGAUUAAUACCGCAUGACCUCGAAAGAGCAAAGUGGGGGAUCGCAAGACCUCACGCUUUUGGAGAAGCCUACGUCGGAUUAGCUAGUUGGUGAGGUAAUGGCUCACCAAGGCGACGAUCCGUAACUGGUCUGAGAGGAUGAUCAGUCACACCGGAACUGAGACACGGUCCGGACUCCUACGGGAGGCAGCAGUGGGGAAUAUUGGACAAUGGGCGCAAGCCUGAUCCAGCAAUGCCGCGUGUGUGAAGAAGGCCUCGGGUUCGUAAAGACACUUAACGUUA